GGAUCAAAGAUGUGUACUUUAUAUUGCCUUCAGGAGUGGGAAAGACUUAAAUAUUAUGUACAAUGGCAUGACACUGAGGCCC
RNAcentral lists this small nucleolar RNA (82 nucleotides) under Carlito syrichta (Philippine tarsier). Its description in RNAcentral is "Small nucleolar RNA SNORD115 (ENSTSYG00000037590.1)". It matches the Rfam family "Small nucleolar RNA SNORD115". Rfam says of the family: HBII-52 is a member of the C/D class of snoRNAs, which contain the C (UGAUGA) and D (CUGA) box motifs. HBII-52 is encoded in a tandemly repeated array with another C/D snoRNA, HBII-85, in the Prader-Willi syndrome (PWS) region of chromosome 15. Lineage: Eukaryota; Metazoa; Chordata; Mammalia; Primates; Tarsiidae. The record is from Rfam by way of RNAcentral.